AACUACAAUUUGAACUUCCGGCCCGUGGAAAUUGACGUCACGACCAAUGGAGUUUAUGAUAUGUAUGGCCCCCUCUUGUGGACGGACAUAGACGUUUCAGUUUCAAGUUUUAUUUGUCACAAAUACAGUGAAAUGUUUAACUUGCAAGCCCUAACCAACAGUGCAGGAUUCAAUAUAAAAUAGUAUAACUAAUACAAAAUGUAGAAUACAAGAAAUAAGAGAGGAAGCUAUAUACAGGGUCAGUGCCAGUACCAAAUGUACAAUGUGAAGGGAUACUGGAGUAUUUGAGGUAGAUAUGUACAUGUACUGUAGGCAAGUGUUGCGAGAUAACUCAAUCCGUUGGAAGCAUAACUCAAUCCGUUGGAAGCAUAACUCAAUCCGUGAGACAAGCAUUUAUAUAAAAGACCACUCCGUAAGCCACGCCCCAGUGGGCAGAGCUAGGCAUGUUGCACUUAGACACGUUUUAAUACAAAAAGCCUCUACUUUUACAAUGCGUCUUCCACGUGGCAGGAUUAGAUACAGAUGGGUAAACAGAUAAGAUUUAAUAAGGUCCCAGCCCAUAUGGGGGUGGAGGGGAACAAGGCAGGCAGUUGAUGUACUGGCUAAACAAGCACAUAGAAGUGGGGAUGUUGAUGUCGUAGUUUCAAUGGGCAAGACAGAGGCAAAAAGCCUGAUAUGGACAGUGAUGGUGCAGAGAUGGCAGGAGCAGUGGAAUAGAGAUACUAAGGACAGGCAUUUAUUUCUAGUAAAGAGGAAAGCCGGGGAGGACAGCAGGAAGGGACAGAAGAGGAGGCUAUUUUUACAAGAAUAAGGGUGGGAUACAGCCAGUUGAAUAAGACCUUACAUGUGAUAGGAAAUCAUCCAACAGGAAAGUGUGAGUAUUGCCAGGAAACAGAGACUGUGGAGCAUGUAUUGCUACAGUGUGGGCUGUAUCAGAGGGAACGAGAGAGACUGAGAUCUAAUAUGAAGGAGAAGGGGAUACAGGAAAGUAAUUUAAAGAGUAUUUUGAGUAGAACGUCAUUGGAUAUAGUCUCAAAUAUUUUGUUAUCUUUUUUAAGAGUAACGGGAGCUGGCAGGUAGGAUUUCGUUUCUCGCCGUCUCUGGCCCACACUCCAGUACAGUAGGUGGCGGUAAUGCACCAUAACGUUGGAUACCAACGCUGAUAAACCCCACUGAAGAAGAAGAAUGGCUCUUCAGGGCAGAAGAGUCGAGUUGUGUAAGUUGUUCGCAUGAGGUUCCUUGAUUGGUGAAGUGUGUAGAGUUUAUCCAUAGUUUGGGGAAUGGAAAAUGGCAGAGAGUAGUGUGGAUGAAAUUGAGGAAAAGUUGGUGAAGCAACAGCUGUGCUGGAAUGCGAACAAAGUGUCAGUUCUGAUGACAUGGAGCGGGAGGAUGAGGGUCAAGGACUGGAAUGGCCGGUAGUGGAAAGACAUAGGAAGAAGAGGGAUCAUGAUACAGAAAGCAGUGGAGCGUCUAGUAAAGAAAGCAUAAAGAGGACCAAGGUAAGAAGCAAUAGUAGGGAUGUGUUGGAGUGGAAAAUGGUGAUAGUGUUUGAUGAGACCAAAGGGUCUCACUUACACACUAUCAGACUUACUAAUGCCAUAGAGAAUAUGUAUUGCUCUAUUGUGGUGUUGCCCAGCCAGUCUCCCCAGGUUAACAGCACCAUGGCAUGACUCCAAACCUUUUCUCCCAGGUACGUCAGGCAGGUACCUGUCUUAUUCGCCAUUCAGUGAAUGAGGAGAAUACAGGAAUCACAGUGAGAAGCAUAUGGGGUCCAGGGCAACAUAGGGCCACACUCCGCACUGAGUCCUCAGAAUCAAAUUCAGUGGUGAACUCACACUUCCAGCCAGCCGUAUCAACUAAGACCACCUGUCUACCAGCCACUUCACCCUGUCGUCUCACACUGUGCGCCAGUCUUUCAGUAUCAAACACCUUGCCCAGGAUGGUGUUCCCUGCCAUGCUCCUCCCAACACAGUUCGCACCCAGAAGCACAGCCCUCACCUCCACAUCAUGUUUACCUCCUCCUAUAAGGCAGACAAAAAGAUGGACAGACAAAGGGGAGAGAUGACAAUAUUUGUUUAUAGAGCAUUGAAUUUCACUAAUUGAUUAACGCCCACCCCCCACAGAAAACAUCCAUCCCAUAGAUUCCAAACCUAUUCCCAAUAUACACUCACCACCCACAGUUGCUCUGUUCUUCUUCAUCUUCAUUAGCCUCAGCAUCCCUCAGUUCUUCACAUCCUAUCUCUUCUGCAGCAACUUUACAAUCAUAUCAUUGUGAAUUUGAUAACAACCACUCUGUGCUACCAUCCUCUCUAUAUUUUGCAACAGUCAGUGACCUGAGUCACAUUCUCCCUGUUUCUGUUGUCUAUGAUAUGCUACCUGUUCUCACAGUUUUCUACAAGCCUUUGAAGGAUGCCUUCCUCACUUGAAAUGUGCUGCUCUAAUGUCGUGUCCACAAGCCAAUUCCCUCUGGUAAAGAGCACCAUGGUGUGUCUCCAUACCCUCUGCUCAAGGAGCUGGUUCAGGUUCUCCUCCACUGUGUCUGUGUGCAGUAUGUGCAAGGAAGCACAAGGAGGAAGGCAUGUGGGACACAGCAAGAGCAAUUUCCUGCUUGUCCUGUGCUGAGGUCACCGCCAACAAGUUAUUCCACCACCAGCCAGGUGUGUCUACCACAGUGGCCUGUCUGCCAGCAACAGCUGUCUGUCAGCUUACACACUGGGCAGUCCUCUUCGUUGUGUCAAACUCCUCCGCACCCAGGAUUGUGUUUCCUGACAAGUUUUUGCCAGAAUGCCCUUCCCCAACAGCACAAGUUGAAGGUCUGCCUGUGUGAUGGGGGAGAGAGAAAUAAAGAAGCACAAAGUAAAUGACUGUCCUGGGGGAGUUCAGAUGAACACCCAGGUCUUCUGGACCUGCUCUAUCGAGAAGCCCCUGACUGCGCUCUUCAAAACUCUUAUGCAUGCUGGAGCAUAAAAAGCUGUUGAAUUCUAGUUUUUCUUUACUUUCACAUACACUGUGUUGACAGAAACAUUGCUCAGAUCUUGUCCCCUGGACCUUGGAGGACUUUUGGUGUGGAUGAUGAUCAGGGCCUAUCAAAGCAAGGUUUCUCAAACAACUGUGGGGUGUUUGUUUUGAUGGACCUGUUUCCUACAGUUUUUACACUACAUACACAAUUCAUACAUCAAACUCCUGCAGAGCUGGAUGCUGAUGUGACAUGUGUCUUCUACAUCUUGAAAUAUAUUCCUGGUGGGGGGGUGGUAUUAUUAUUAUUUACUAUUAUCAUUAUUGUUGUUAUCAUAACUAUCAAACUUAACAACCUACUCUUUCUUAAUUUACAGUACGCUCUGUACAUUGCAAUGGAAGCACAGUGUGAUUUCACUGAGGUAUGUAUAAAUUAUGAAAUUCUCAUCACUAGUGGCGACUAGGCGAUGGUGGUGCCAACUUUCCCAUGCCGUAAGUCUUGAACAUAAUAAAAACUUUUCAUUUGUGUCCUUAAAAUCACUUCUUUCACUGUAGCCAGACUGACCUGAAUAUAUUUUCAUAUUGAAUGUAUGUAAUGUAUGUCAUUCCCUCACUAAGGUCUGAAGAAGACAGGUUGAAAGAUCGAGAAAGGUGGCGAAAACAAAACGCACUACAGGAUGAUGUAGAAGAUGUCCCCCCCCCCCAAGAAGUCACAGCAUGUCACAUCAGCAUCCAGCUCUGCAGGAUCAGACGAUACUGAAAACAAAACAUGACGAACUGGGAGCUGUGAACUGGGAAGCAGAUGUUCUUCUAAGGGACACCCUAGAUGCAGCAAGGUGGCGCGAACGCCAAACAUUUAAAGACACCAUUUCCCUCCCUAGUCUAAUUGGGAUGGACAGGGAAGACCGCAUUACAACCCUUAAAGAACUACGGUUGUAUGAUGGCCUGGAUGAAGAGGAAAAUAUUCUCCUCAAGGAACCAUUCGUGUUCUUGUUCCAGUUACAGAGAGAUUAUGAGAUGUUCUAUGUGGAGGCAGUUGACAACAAGAAAAUGACUGUCUGUCUCUUUUGAGGAGCAGGAGUGAAGCCAUUUUUGAGGAGUGGUCAAACCUUAUUUUUGUCUGCUGUGUUAAUUGUUUCAAUUGUUAAUUGUGUUGUUUAGUAAAGAUGACGUAGAAGUCA
Molecule: long non-coding RNA, 4136 nt
Organism: Salvelinus fontinalis (brook trout)
Lineage: Eukaryota; Metazoa; Chordata; Actinopteri; Salmoniformes; Salmonidae
Exons: 7
Source: RefSeq, a predicted model, not a curated record